GUGAAGGCAGGAAGAUUUGGGGGCAGGAGUCUGACUGAGCAAAUAUAGUAUAUGAGAAAAGUUCUGGAUUGUCAUCACCACAUUUCCCUGCCAAUGUGUCUUAAUUCUGACCUUGAGGGGCCAUCUGUAGAGGCAACAGGGAGUUCAGUCUUUGUGACCACUUCAAUCCUUUGUAUCU
RNAcentral lists this small RNA (178 nucleotides) under Chelonoidis abingdonii (Abingdon island giant tortoise). Its description in RNAcentral is "TUC338 (ENSCABG00000006713.1)". Lineage: Eukaryota; Metazoa; Chordata; Testudines; Testudinidae. The record is from RNAcentral.